Molecule: long non-coding RNA, 1321 nt
Organism: Nicotiana tabacum (common tobacco)
Lineage: Eukaryota; Viridiplantae; Streptophyta; Magnoliopsida; Solanales; Solanaceae
Source: RefSeq, a predicted model, not a curated record
AUAAACGGACAGCCCUAAUCUCCCAAGAUUCAGAGACGCGUUACUGUUCUUCUUCUCCAAAACACCCGAAUCCACUCCCAAACAAUUGCCAAAAUUCAGGCGAGUGAGCCCCAAUCUCACCUCACACGUUCCCCCUCUCUCCCUGUCACCAUAUUUCUAACCGUUUCUGACAGAUUCCCUUUUCCCUCACAUGCUUCUUUGAUUAAUCUCAGAUUUUUCACCCUCCAAAUGAAAAUAAGGAAAAAUAGGGAGCGUUAGAUUGGAUUUGAACUAAUCUACUCCCUCCAUUUGUCCCUCUUUCAUAAAAAACGGGGUGAGAAAUCUGUUUUAGGAGGAGGAUUUUCGUUUUGGGGAUUUCUUGGAGAUAAAGGGAGAAGGUUCGAGAAGCCUGGAGGUAUAUAUAAGGUGAGGUCAUUUCUUGUGUAAGGGGGAUUUUUUGGAGAGGAUUUUCGGAGAGAGCUUUCGGAGAAUUUUUCAGAAAAAAAUUGCUCGAGACAUAGGAAAUUUCAAGAGGGUCUUCUUUUGAACCUCUGUUUCUCGUUUUUUUGGAUUUUCCAUUUUGUUUAAUUUCGUUUCUUUAAAUUUCAGAAUCAGAAAAAGAAAUAAAAUAUAUAGGUAGUUCAGUCAUCUUCAGUUUGAUUUUUGAAUUUUGGUUUCAACAUGGAAAUUGAUUAAGCCGAAAAUCAAGUUCGACAUUUGAAGUUGGGUCACUGAUUUGAUUUUUUUUUGUCCUCUGUUGUUGCUUCGAAUAUCCAUUGCUGGACUUUGCUGGGUUUAAGCGAAGAGUUUCACAACUUCAGACAAUAUGUUCUGAUUUCUGUUUCAAAUAAUUGGUAACCUCGAGUCUUGUGAGCAAACUCAUUUGCUUCUCGAUCUUUCCAUUUGCUUAAGAAGCGCAGGAUGAUAAUCUCCAACAAGGAAAUUGGAUCUUUGGGCACUGCUCUGUAUAGUACUGACUAGUCUAAAGUUGAUGCACAUAAUUUACUUCCUAAUUUGACAUCAUUUGAGUUCUUUGAUGUGCUUAUUUAUGCCUAGUCUAUUUGUUAGUCUAAUUCGUUUGAUAAACACUAAGAUAUAAGUUUGUCUAUUUAUUUUGUUCCGUAAGUAUAUUUGUUGGUUGAGAGUAUUUGUAUAGAACCAAAAUGAAGAAUUGAAGUAGGAAGAUUUUUAUACAGAAGGUAAUUUUAUUUUCUCAUAUGUAUAGCAUAAUCUGUCAGUAGCAGGCAGGUCCUUUCUUUGGUAUUGACAUACUGAAGAGAAGUACCAAUCUACUAUCUGCUCUUCAUUUACUUUUGCAAUGAAGUUUUGAUUUUCUGUUGAA